GCUGGGCAUGGUGGUGCGUGCCUGUAAUCCCAGCUACUUGGGAGGCUGAGGCAGGAGAAUUGCAUGAACCUGGGAGGCGGAGGUUGCAGUGAGCCGCGAUCGUGCCAUUGCACUCCAGCCUGGGUGACAGAGCAAGAUUCUGUCUCAA
This 148-nucleotide non-coding RNA is filed under the name Homo sapiens (human). The record is from Rfam by way of RNAcentral. Lineage: Eukaryota; Metazoa; Chordata; Mammalia; Primates; Hominidae.